GAUUGUGGGGCAAAUGGAUAAACAGUUAUGAAUGUCCAUUCGUGGUCAAGAAGGUUUCCUCUGACAGAACCUUGUUGUUGACGACCACGGAUGACGACGAUUUUCCAUCCCCUGUGAAUGCGGACGCAGUUAGAAAAUACUUCGUAGAAAGAGACCCGCUGGACGAAAAAAAAAAAGAAGAAUAAAGAGUCCAGGCAAAAAAUGGGCAUCCCGGCGAACCAAG
This 223-nucleotide long non-coding RNA is filed under the name Lathyrus oleraceus (garden pea). RNAcentral's name for it is "Pisum sativum (pea) long non-coding RNA (PSAT_LNC028754)". The record is from RNAcentral. Lineage: Eukaryota; Viridiplantae; Streptophyta; Magnoliopsida; Fabales; Fabaceae.